GACGAACGUUGGCGGCGUGCUUAAUACAUGCAAGUCAACUGAAGGGCCGGUAGUAAUACUGGCGUGGAGGUGGCGCACGGGUGAGUAACACGUAGGUAAUCUGCCUUCAGGUCUGACAUAACUCCGAGAAAUCGAAGCUAAUAUCAGAUGAUGCAGCGGCUUGACAUCAAGACAGUUGUUAAAGCUUCGGCGCCUGAAGAUGAGCCUGCGCU
RNAcentral lists this ribosomal RNA (212 nucleotides) under uncultured bacterium. Its description in RNAcentral is "partial 16S ribosomal RNA". It matches the Rfam family "Bacterial small subunit ribosomal RNA", at positions 28 to 237 of the family's 1533-position model. The record is from RNAcentral.